GCUCUAGUUUGGAGUUUCUUCUCAUAUCAGGUUAGAUUAAAUUUACCCACAUCAAUCUACUACAGAAUCUGGAGUACAUUAGAAAAUCUGUAAGGUUAAUUCUUUAUCAUAUUAGAUAUAUGUCUCAUAAAAAUAAAACUAACUUUAUAUUUGGUAGUCAUAUCAUUAUCCAUCUUAAUCAGCAGAUUAAGAUUAUAUUGUCAUGCAUUGGUAAUGAUACACAUACAACAGCUAAGUUUUAAUCCCAAACUAAAUGGGGUCAGCUAUAUGUAUCAUUUUUUU
This 282-nucleotide unclassified non-coding RNA is filed under the name Hevea brasiliensis (rubber tree). Lineage: Eukaryota; Viridiplantae; Streptophyta; Magnoliopsida; Malpighiales; Euphorbiaceae. The record is from RNAcentral.